Molecule: ribosomal RNA, 314 nt
Filed under: uncultured bacterium
Lineage: Bacteria
Description: bacterial SSU rRNA
Rfam family: Bacterial small subunit ribosomal RNA
Source: RNAcentral
UGCAGAAGAAGCACCGGCUAACUCCGUGCCAGCAGCCGCGGUAAUACGGAGGGUGCGAGCGUUAAUCGGAAUUACUGGGCGUAAAGCGCAUGCAGGUGGUUUGUUAAGUCAGAUGUGAAAGCCCGGGGCUCAACCUCGGAAUUGCAUUUGAAACUGGCAAACUAGAGUACUGUAGAGGGGGUAGAAUUUCAGGUGUAGCGGUGAAAUGCGUAGAGAUCUGAAGGAAUACCGGUGGCGAAGGCGGCCCCCUGGACAGAUACUGACACUCAGAUGCGAAAGCGUGGGGAGCAAACAGGAUUAGAUACCCUCGGUAG